This 472-nucleotide ribosomal RNA is filed under the name uncultured bacterium. RNAcentral describes it as "partial 16S ribosomal RNA". It matches the Rfam family "Bacterial small subunit ribosomal RNA", at positions 28 to 507 of the family's 1533-position model. The record is from RNAcentral.
GAUGAACGCUGGCGGCGUGCCUAAUACAUGCAAGUCGAGCGAACGGACGAGAAGCUUGCUUCUCUGAGGUUAGCGGCGGACGGGAGAGUAACACGUGGAUAACCUACCUAUAAGACUGGGGUAACUUUGGGAAACCGGAGCUAAUACCGGAUAAUAUUUUGCACCGCAUUGUUCAAGAGUGAAAGUCGGUCUUUCUAUCGAUUAUAGAUGAGACGGCGUUGGAUUAGCUAGUUGGUUAGGUAAAGGCUUAGCAAGGCUACGAUGCAUAGCUGGUCUGAGAGGCUGAGCAGAGACACUGGGACUGAGACACGGUCCAGACUCCUACGGGAGGCAGCAGUGGGGAAUAUUGGACAAUGGGCGAAAGCCUGAUCCAGCAAUGCCGCGUGAGUGAUGAAGGCCUUAGGGUUGUAAAGCUCUUUUACCCGGGAUGAUAAUGACAGUACCGGGAGAAUAAGCUCCGGCUAACUCCGUG